This 421-nucleotide ribosomal RNA is filed under the name uncultured Chlorobiota bacterium. RNAcentral describes it as "bacterial SSU rRNA". It matches the Rfam family "Bacterial small subunit ribosomal RNA", at positions 355 to 774 of the family's 1533-position model. RNAcentral also lists the same sequence under 1 other name. Lineage: Bacteria; Pseudomonadati; Chlorobiota. The record is from RNAcentral.
UAAGGAAUAUUGCGCAAUGGAGGCAACUCUGACGCAGCAACGCCGCGUGUAGGAAGAAGGCCCUUUGGGUCGUAAACUACUGUAGCAGGGGAAUAAUGGCCUACCAUGGGUAGGUUUGAAGGUACCCUGAAAGUAAGCGCCGGCUAACUACGUGCCAGCAGCCGCGGUAAUACGUAGGGCGCAAGCGUUGUCCGGAUUCACUGGGUGUAAAGGGUGCGUAGGCGGGAAGGUAAGUCCGCGGUGAAAUCUCACGGCUCAACCGUGAAACUGCCGUUGAUACUGCUUUUCUUGAGUUCGGGAGAGGUUGAUGGAAUUCCAGGUGUAGCGGUGAAAUGCGUAGAUAUCUGGAAGAACACCAGUGGCGAAGGCGGUCAACUGGCCCGUAACUGACGCUGAGGCACGAAAGCGUGGGGAGCGAACA